Molecule: long non-coding RNA, 530 nt
Organism: Prionailurus viverrinus (fishing cat)
Lineage: Eukaryota; Metazoa; Chordata; Mammalia; Carnivora; Felidae
Exons: 3
Source: RefSeq, a predicted model, not a curated record
UGGUGUUCCCCUGCCUCAGCCUCUCAGGUGUCUUAGGAUCCUCCCCGGUCCCCCCACAGCAGGAGGAGCCCUGGCAUUUGGCUCAUCUCUCCAGGUUCCUACCCUCUCCUGGCUUUCAGCCCUGACAGUUGCUUACUCUCUUGAUGUUUAUACUUGUCAGAAGGUAGGUCCAUAUUCCCUAGCCCGCCCUGGCUGUAUGUGGAAGUUCUCCUCUACGUCUUAAAUGGGAUGUUAAUCGAGAGCGGUCAUCCUUCUCUUAUUCCUGAUUUUAACAUGAAUGCCUCCAGCGUAUAUGGGCUGGAUCGAGCUCCACGGCAGCGAGACCUGGCUUUCCUGUUCUCCCUGUGGCCUCAAUCCCGAGAUCUGUGUCCUGCGGGUAGCAGGCACCCAAUGGAUCUGUAGCUCGUGAGCUAAUUCAAAGGAGGGAGGCACCGGAUAAUGCACUGGAGUACGGAAUAAACACGGAAAUGAUGACCUUGGCCCCACCUUCCCUGUCAGGUGCGUCUUUGGAGAAAGCAAACAAUGACUGC